This 124-nucleotide small RNA is filed under the name Salmonella enterica. RNAcentral's name for it is "partial RtT sRNA". It matches the Rfam family "RtT RNA", at positions 40 to 130 of the family's 130-position model. From Rfam's summary of the family: This family represents a bacterial cis-regulatory element known as RtT RNA. The exact function of RtT is unknown although it is thought that it may be involved in changing the cellular response in relation to amino acid starvation. RNAcentral also lists the same sequence under 3 other names. The record is from RNAcentral. Lineage: Bacteria; Pseudomonadati; Pseudomonadota; Gammaproteobacteria; Enterobacterales; Enterobacteriaceae.
GGUUCGAAUCCUGCACGACCCACCAAUUUAACAUCAAACUCAGAUGUUGAACGUGAAGGAUAACGUUGCGUCAGCAACGGCCCGUAGGGCGAGGCGAAGCCGAGUCAUCCUGCACGACCCACCA